CUUUUCGACCAAAUCACCCGGAACACGUUCCAUCUCGUCAAAUAUAUCGGAAGCUAAGCAGUGUUGAGACUGGAUAGUGCUCGGAUGGGUGACCACCGGGAUUUGCCAGGUGUUGUAGGCA
RNAcentral lists this ribosomal RNA (121 nucleotides) under Petromyzon marinus (sea lamprey). Lineage: Eukaryota; Metazoa; Chordata; Hyperoartia; Petromyzontiformes; Petromyzontidae. The record is from RNAcentral.